GAUGAACGCUGGCGGCGUGCCUAAUACAUGCAAGUCGAGCGAACAGAUAAGGAGCUUGCUCCUUUGACGUUAGCGGCGGACGGGUGAGUAACACGUGGGUAACCUACCUAUAAGACUGGAAUAACUCCGGGAAACCGGGGCUAAUGCCGGAUAACAUUUAGAACCGCAUGGUUCUAAAGUGAAAGAUGGUUUUGCUAUCACUUAUAGAUGGACCCGCGCCGUAUUAGCUAGUUGGUAAGGUAACGGCUUACCAAGGCAACGAUUCGUAGCCGACCUGAGAGGGGGAUCGCCCACAUGGGAGCUUGGACACGGUCCAGGCUCCUACGGGAGGCAGCAGUAGGGAAUCUUCCGCAGAGGGCGAAAGCCUUACGGAGCAACGCCGCGUCAGUGAUGAAGGUCUUCGGUUCGUAAUACUCUGUUAUUAGGUAAGAACAAAUGUGUAAGUAGCUGUGCACGUCUUGACGGUACCUAAUCAGAAAGCCACGGCUAACUACGUG
RNAcentral lists this ribosomal RNA (497 nucleotides) under uncultured bacterium. Its description in RNAcentral is "partial 16S ribosomal RNA". It matches the Rfam family "Bacterial small subunit ribosomal RNA", at positions 28 to 507 of the family's 1533-position model. The record is from RNAcentral.